UGGGGAAUCUUCCGCAAUGGGCGAAAGCCUGACGGAGCAACGCCGCGUGAGUGAAGACGGCCUUCGGGUUGUAAAACUCUGUGAUUAGGGACGAAAGAUAAGCAGACGAAUAAUCUGCAUAAGUGACGGUACCGAAAAAGCAAGCCACGGCUAACUACGUGCCAGCAGCCGCGGUAAUACGUAGGUGGCAAGCGUUGUCCGGAAUUAUUGGGCGUAAAGCGCGCGCAGGCGGCUACUUAAGUCCAUCUUAAAAGUGCGGGGCUGAACCCCGUGAUGGGAUGGAAACUGAGAAGCUGGAGUGUCGGAGAGGAAAGGGGAAGUCCUAGUGUGGCGGUGAAAUGCGUAGAGAUUAGGAAGAACACCGGUGGCGAAGGCGACUUUCUGGACGACAACUGACGCUUAGGCGCGAAAGCGUGGGGAGCAAACAGG
Molecule: ribosomal RNA, 429 nt
Filed under: Verrucomicrobiota bacterium
Lineage: Bacteria; Pseudomonadati; Verrucomicrobiota
Description: Verrucomicrobia bacterium partial 16S ribosomal RNA
Rfam family: Bacterial small subunit ribosomal RNA
Source: RNAcentral